RNAcentral lists this ribosomal RNA (274 nucleotides) under uncultured bacterium. RNAcentral describes it as "partial 16S ribosomal RNA". It matches the Rfam family "Bacterial small subunit ribosomal RNA", at positions 523 to 796 of the family's 1533-position model. The record is from RNAcentral.
AUACGGAGGGUGCAAGCGUUGUCCGGAUUUAUUGGGGUUAAAGGGUGCGUAGGCGGUGCGCAAAGUCAGUGGUGAAAUCCCGCAGCUCAACUGCGGAACUGCCAUUGAUACUGGCGCACUUGAGUACGGACGAGGUAGGCGGAAUUUAUGGUGUAGCGGUGAAAUGCAUAGAUACCAUAAAGAACACCGAUAGCGAAGGCAGCUCACUAGACCGUAACUGACGCUCAGGCACGAAAGCGUGGGGAGCGAACAGGAUUAGAAACCCUAGUAGUCC